GCCUCGGUAGCUCAGUGGUAGAGCACCUGCAUGGUAAGCAGGGGGUCGCGCGUUCAAUCCGCGUCCGAGGCU
This 72-nucleotide transfer RNA is filed under the name Microcaldota archaeon. RNAcentral's name for it is "tRNA-Thr". It matches the Rfam family "tRNA". From Rfam's summary of the family: Transfer RNA (tRNA) molecules are approximately 80 nucleotides in length. Their secondary structure includes four short double-helical elements and three loops (D, anti-codon, and T loops). The record is from RNAcentral. Lineage: Archaea; Nanobdellati; Microcaldota.